This 544-nucleotide ribosomal RNA is filed under the name uncultured bacterium. Its description in RNAcentral is "bacterial SSU rRNA". It matches the Rfam family "Bacterial small subunit ribosomal RNA", at positions 29 to 575 of the family's 1533-position model. The record is from RNAcentral.
ACGAACGCUGGCGGCGUGCUUAACACAUGCAAGUCGAACGAGAAUCACUGGAAGGAGUUUUCGGACAACGGAAGGUGAGGACAGUGGCGGACGGGUGAGUAACGCGUGAGGAACCUGCCUUUCAGAGGGGGACAACAGUUGGAAACGACUGCUAAUACCGCAUGACACAUAGAGAUCGCAUGGUUUUUAUGUCAAAGAUUUAUCGCUGAAAGAUGGCCUCGCGUCUGAUUAGCUGGUUGGUGAGGUAACGGCCCACCAAGGCGACGAUCAGUAGCCGGACUGAGAGGUUGACCGGCCACAUUGGGACUGAGAUACGGCCCAGACUCCUACGGGAGGCAGCAGUGGGGAAUAUUGCACAAUGGGGGAAACCCUGAUGCAGCGACGCCGCGUGAGCGAAGAAGUAUUUCGGUAUGUAAAGCUCUAUCAGCAGGGAAGAAGAUGACGGUACCUGACUAAGAAGCCCCGGCUAACUACGUGCCAGCAGCCGCGGUAAUACGUGGGGGCAAGCGUUAUCCGGAUUUACUGGGUGUAAAGGGAGGGUAGA